ACUCCUACGGGAGGCAGCAGUGGGGAAUAUUGCGCAAUGGAGGGAACUCUGACGCAGCGACGCCGCGUGAGCGAUGAAGGUCUUCGGAUCGUAAAGCUCUGUCCUCAGGGAAGAAGGUCUUUUGACUUGACGGUACCUGUGGAGGAAGCCCCGGCUAACUACGUGCCAGCAGCCGCGGUAAU
This 182-nucleotide ribosomal RNA is filed under the name uncultured bacterium. RNAcentral's name for it is "partial 16S ribosomal RNA". It matches the Rfam family "Bacterial small subunit ribosomal RNA", at positions 335 to 524 of the family's 1533-position model. The record is from RNAcentral.